UAAUACGGAGGUGGCGAACGUUGUUCGGAUUCAUUGGGUGUAAAGGGUAUGUAGGUGGCCUUGUAAGUCGGAUGUGAAAUCCUUUGGCUUAACCAAAGAACUGCAUUCGAAACUGCUUGGCUUGAGUUUGGGAGAGGAGAGUGGAAUUCCCGGUGUAAGAGUGAAAUCUGUAGAGAUCGGGAGGAACACCUGUGGCGAAAGCGACUCUCUGGCCCAGAACUGACACUGAAAUACGAAAGCUAGAGGAGCAAACAGGAUUAGAUACCCUGGUAGUUCUAGCCGUAAACGAUGAGCACUAGGUGUGGGGUCCACUGGGCUCUGUGCCGCAGUUAACACAUUAAGUGCUCCACCUGGGGACUACGGCCGCAAGGUUG
This 374-nucleotide ribosomal RNA is filed under the name uncultured bacterium. RNAcentral describes it as "bacterial SSU rRNA". It matches the Rfam family "Bacterial small subunit ribosomal RNA", at positions 521 to 896 of the family's 1533-position model. The record is from RNAcentral.